AUGAACGCUGGCGGCGUGCCUAAUACAUGCAAGUCGAGCGAACAGACGAGGAGCUUGCUCCUCUGAUGUUAGCGGCGGACGGGUGAGUAACACGUGGAUAACCUACCUAUAAGACUGGGAUAACUUCGGGAAACCGGAGCUAAUACCGGAUAACAUGUUGAACCGCAUGGUUCAACAGUGAAAGACGGUCUUGCUGUCACUUAUAUAUGGAUCCGCGCCGCAUUAGCUAGUUGGUAAGGUAACGGCUUACCAAGGCAACGAUGCGUAGCCGACCUGAGAGGGUGAUCGGCCACACUGGAACUGAGACACGGUCCAGACUCCUACGGGAGGCAGCAGUAGGGAAUCUUCCGCAAUGGGCGAAAGCCUGACGGAGCAACGCCGCGUGAGUGAAGAAGGUCUUCGGAUCGUAAAACUCUGUUAUUAGGGAAGAACAAAUGUGUAAGUAACUAUGCACGUCUUGACGGUACCUAAUCAGAAAGCCACGGCUAACUACGUG
RNAcentral lists this ribosomal RNA (496 nucleotides) under uncultured bacterium. RNAcentral's name for it is "partial 16S ribosomal RNA". It matches the Rfam family "Bacterial small subunit ribosomal RNA", at positions 29 to 507 of the family's 1533-position model. The record is from RNAcentral.